This 1565-nucleotide long non-coding RNA is filed under the name Homo sapiens (human). RNAcentral describes it as "HSALNT0227519". The record is from RNAcentral. Lineage: Eukaryota; Metazoa; Chordata; Mammalia; Primates; Hominidae.
GGGCAUGAAGAAGGAGGAAAAGGAUGCAGGAAAGAAUUUAAGAGGCAAAGUGGAUGUGAUAAAGGAACGAGAAGAUCAUGAGAAAAGAUGAAAAAGAGAACAGUGACUGACCCAUGUCAUGAAGCAUCAGUUUCUAAACUUUGCUGUAUGCAGGCUCAAUGGUAAGCAUCCCUCUUCAGGAAGGAGCUUCCUGUGUUUUCUCUGGGAACUCACCUGUUUUCCACUCCAGACUCUCCAAGAUAUGCAGAGCUUUGGGCCAGGAUCCUACAGCCACGGGUCAUGCAGAGCCAGUUGGCCACAUCCUUUGGGCCAAAUUUGGUCCUAACCAGGUCUUACCACGGUAACUGCUAACCAGUCCAUCUUCAGUUAAUAUUUCAUGCGUAAGAUGUUUCAUGAAGUAACUGAAUGGGCUAAUGGGUUGUUCACUGGAUAAGACUCCCAGAUACUCCCUUUCAUGCCAUUCCCCAGAAUUCCUUCACCUCCCAGUGCUGUCUGUAAGGGUGAAGAUACUCCAUUUUGCCCCAUGCUCUUUGCUGUGCCCCAGAUAGGCUCAAACAUUUUUCCCUUUUGGGGAUUUUGCAGGUAGGAAUUGUUGAACAUCUUACCAUUUAAUCCAGAAGUUAUGUCCUUUAAGGAAUCGACCCUGAGCCUGUGAGUUUUACUUUGGGUUGGGGGUGAAGGAGUGGACCUUGCAGCAUUCAAGGUCAUCCAAGAUCAUCCAGUUAAGGCCCCUAAGGUCACUACGGGGGGAAAAGCCUGGUGAGGGAAGAGAAAGCAUUAGGGGGAGCUGCACCGUGCUGAGAAAUAACACCACACAGAAGUCUGUGUUCUAAUCUCAGCUCUGCUUUGCAUUACUGUGUGACCUGGAGCUGAUCACAGCCCUCUGAGUCUUAAAGGGGUUGGACAAGGCCAACUAAACAUUAGAAACACCUGAAAGUGCUGGUUAAAAGGAAGAAUGCAUGAGCUUCACUCCAGAUUUACUAUAUCAGAAUUUCCAGGGUCAGGGUCCAAGAAUCUGCAUGUUUAAUACGCUUUCCACAUGAUUUUUCCCCCCUCUGGACUUAAGAAAACAAUGGGCAAGUCAGCUCAUGAAGAACUUUUCAGAUAUUCAGACUAUUAUUCUGAGAGAGAAAAUAUUGGCAGAGAACAGAUGGGAUUUUUCUCAAGGAAAAGAAAUGGAAAUCCUACAUCUUGCAAGAAAUAGAAAAAAAUAAAUAAACUGUUUGAAGAAGAAUCACAUCAGGCUGGCAGGAGAGAGCCUGCGGCUCGGUGUCUGACCCAGAAUGUUAAAGCCAGCCUGGCUUGGCUCCAGGAUAAAGGACACUCUGUCAGCCUCUCCACAUUGAUUCAUCUCCCCAGCCCCAAGAUCAGGAGAGCAUUCUGUUCCUUGAAGCAUUUUAUGACUGUAAGUCAGAAGUGCUGCAGUUUUAAUAAAAAGCUGUAUUGUCCUGAUCUUGUGCAAUAUACUGAACUAUCAUUUUCCAACUGUUGGCUUGCAUACUGGUUUGUGUGAGUAAGCCCGUCCAUCCACAUCACUAAAAGAUAGUAGUAGUAACAACAAUGAC